Molecule: non-coding RNA, 1037 nt
Organism: Physcomitrium patens
Lineage: Eukaryota; Viridiplantae; Streptophyta; Bryopsida; Funariales; Funariaceae
Source: RefSeq, a predicted model, not a curated record
GGUCUGUCAAUGCAAGUUCAAUUGGGAAUAGCUCAGCAUCAGGAUCAGGCAAGCAGCACACACAUUGGAAUGAAAUGUGCCAUGAAGCCCAGGGCGACGUUGUUUGCGACUAGAUCCGCUUGCUUGAUGAUGCUUCCAUCCAGGUUACUGCCAUUGCAAGUGCACUUAGGAUUCUUCCAUGACUUUCUGGGCCUUUGGAUAUUCUUCGAUGAUGCCAGGACUAGACCCUAGUUCCUAUUCUUCUCACUGGAAGCAUGUACUGUGUGAAUCCUAUCACUGCAAGAGCUACGGUCCCUCCACUCGUCAGGGUCUGGAUUGAGUUAUGUGGAACUUUGAGCUGGAAUUCGUUGGGUUAACCAGUUUUGGGUCCAUUGCGUGGGCUACAGCUUUCCAUAGUAGCACAACCCUCACUACGAUGCGAGACUGGGAUUUGGAGAAGCCCGAGUGUCCUAGAUUACUUUGUCUCGCACCAGCUGCGGAGAUUUCUACGAGAGUUUCUAGCAUCCAUCGAUUUGAGUGGUGAUUUGCAAUGCAAGGAAUGAUGUCGCUCACAUCAUCCACAAUCCGGAGCGCUAGGCGUGGGUGUCAACACCAGUCUAACUGGGGUACUAGAUCAUUUGGCUGAUUAUAUCACGUUCAAUAUGGAUCGCAAUGUCGAGACUGGGCAAGAAUGUUUCAUGCCUUUGAAUUUAGAAUGCUGCACCCUAGAAACGCUUGUUUUUAGCAAGUUCGGCGAUCGUGUUUGAAAGGAUGCAGUGGCAACCAUGUCUUAGGAUUGCUGCAAUCUCCAGCUAUUUGGUUUGAUCGUAGCCAAUAACUCCUUCCAAAUACAAAGGUCGUAGCCAAAUACUCAACUGUUUCAAGUCUUGCACAUAAAGUUAAUUCUUUCUUUGGAUAUCUCAUUAGCUGCCCUUCGUGUUAGAAUCUAUUUGUAUCCAUUGUUGCGAUUCGUCUGACACGUUGAUAGAUACUGAUUGUUACGUCGGAGAUCAUUCCGACACAUGAUGCAUAUUCAGCGAAAAAAAACCUAUUGAAAA